This 74-nucleotide transfer RNA is filed under the name Blattella germanica (German cockroach). RNAcentral describes it as "tRNA-Ile (AAT) (tRNA-Ile-AAT-26-1)". It matches the Rfam family "tRNA". Rfam says of the family: Transfer RNA (tRNA) molecules are approximately 80 nucleotides in length. The record is from RNAcentral. Lineage: Eukaryota; Metazoa; Arthropoda; Insecta; Blattodea; Blattellidae.
GGCCUAUUAGCUCAGUUGGUUAGAGCGUGGUGCUAAUAACGCCAAGGUCGUGGGUUCAGUUCCCACACGGGUCA